This 21-nucleotide non-coding RNA is filed under the name Arabidopsis thaliana (thale cress). The record is from RNAcentral. Lineage: Eukaryota; Viridiplantae; Streptophyta; Magnoliopsida; Brassicales; Brassicaceae.
UCUGUGUCGAGGAACCACGUC